GACGAACGCUGGCGGCGUGCUUAACACAUGCGAGUCGAACGGAAAGGCCCUGCUUUUGUGGGGUGCUCGAGUGGCGAACGGGUGAGUAACACGUGAGUAACCUGCCCUUGACUUUGGGAUAACUUCAGGAAACUGGGGCUAAUACCGGAUAGGAGCUCCUGCUGCAUGGUGGGGGUUGGAAAGUUUCGGCGGUUGGGGAUGGACUCGCGGCUUAUCAGCUUGUUGGUGGGGUAGUGGCUUACCAAGGCUUUGACGGGUAGCCGGCCUGAGAGGGUGACCGGCCACAUUGGGACUGAGAUACGGCCCAGACUCCUACGGGAGGCAGCAGUGGGGAAUAUUGCACAAUGGGCGGAAGCCUGAUGCAGCAACGCCGCGUGCGGGAUGACGGCCUUCGGGUGGGAAACCGCUUUCGCCUGUGACGAAGCGUGAGUGACGGUAAUGGGUAAAGAAGCACCGGCUAACUACGU
This 467-nucleotide ribosomal RNA is filed under the name uncultured bacterium. Its description in RNAcentral is "partial 16S ribosomal RNA". It matches the Rfam family "Bacterial small subunit ribosomal RNA", at positions 28 to 506 of the family's 1533-position model. The record is from RNAcentral.